Molecule: long non-coding RNA, 343 nt
Filed under: Homo sapiens (human)
Lineage: Eukaryota; Metazoa; Chordata; Mammalia; Primates; Hominidae
Description: HSALNT0373603
Source: RNAcentral
UGUCAGGCCUCUGAGCCCAAGCCAAGCCAUCGCAUCCACUGUGACUUGCACAUAUACACCCAGAUGGCCUGAAGUAACUGAAGAAUCACAAAAGAAGUGAACAUGCCCUGCCCCACCUUAACUGAUGACAUUCCACCACAAAAGAAGUGUGAAUGGCGGGUCCUUGCCUUAACUGAUGACAUUACCUUGUGAAAGUCCUUUUCCUAGCUCAUCCUGCCUCAAAAAGCACCCCCACUGAGCACCUUGCGACCCCCACUCCUGCCCGCCAGAGAACAAACCCCCUUUGACUGUAAUUUUCCUUUACCUACCCAAAUCCUAUAAAACGGCCCCACCCUUAUCUCCC